Molecule: ribosomal RNA, 1330 nt
Filed under: uncultured bacterium
Lineage: Bacteria
Description: bacterial SSU rRNA
Rfam family: Bacterial small subunit ribosomal RNA
Source: RNAcentral
GGAUGAACGCUGGCGGCGUGCUUGAUACAUGCAAGUCGAACGGAGAGUGUAGCAAUAUACUUUUAGUGGCGAACGGGUGAGUAACGCGUUGGUGACCUGCCCCGAAGCGAGGGAUAACAGUUCGAAAGAACUGCUAAUACCUCAUGUGAUCACCGGUUUUAGAAUCUGGUGAUUAAAGGUGAAAAUCACUUCGGGAGGGGCCUGCGUCCCAUCAGCUAGUUGGUAAGGUAAUGGCUUACCAAGGCGAUGACGGGUAGGGGACCUGAGAGGGUGGCCCCCCACAAUGGAACUGAAACACGGUCCAUACACCUACGGGUGGCAGCAGUAGGGAAUAUUGCAAAUGGGCGAAAGCCUGAUGUAGCAACGCCGCGUGUGCGAUGAAGGUCUUCGGAUUGUAAAGCACUUUUUGGAGGGAUGAGGAAGGACAGUACCUCCAGAAUAAGCCUCGGCUAACUACGUGCCAGCAGCCGCGGUAACACGUAGGAGGCAAGCGUUAUUCGGAUUUACUGGGCGUAAAGCGCGUGCAGGCGGUUUGGAAAGUUGGAUGUGAAAGCUCCUGGCUCAACUGGGAGAGGUCGUUCAAAACUUCCAGACUUGAGAGUGGUAGAGGGAGGUGGAAUUCCGGGUGUAGUGGUGAAAUGCGUAGAUAUCCGGAGGAACACCAGUGGCGAAAGCGGCCUCCUGGACCACUUCUGACGCUCAGACGCGAAAGCUAGGGUAGCAAACGGGAUUAGAGACCCCGGUAGUCCUAGCUGUAAACGAUGAUUACUCGAUGUUGGCGAUACACAGUCAGCGUCUGAGCGAAAGCAAUAAGUAAUCCACCUGGGGAGUACGAUCGCAAGAUUGAAACUCAAAGGAAUUGACGGGGGCCCGCACAAGCGGAGGAGCAUGUGGUUUAAUUCGAUGAUACGCGAGGAACCUUACCUGGGCUCGAACGUAAGAUGACUGUAGGUGAAAGCUUACAUCUCUUCGGAGCAUUUUACGAGGUGCUGCAUGGUUGUCGUCAGCUCGUGCCGUGAGGUGUCGGGUUAAGUCCCAUAACGAGCGCAACCCCUACCUUUAGUUGCCAUCAGGUCAUGCUGGGGACUCUAAAGGAACUGCCUACGCAAGUAGUGAGGAAGGCGGGGAUGACGUCAAAUCAGCACGGCCCUUACGUCCAGGGCUACACACGUGCUACAAUGGCCGAUACAGAGGGCAGCUACCUGGUGACAGGAUGCAAAUCUCCAAAGUCGGUCUCAGUUCGGAUCGGAGUCUGCAACCCGACUCCGUGAAGUUGGAUUCGCUAGUAAUCGCGCAUCAGCCAUGGCGCGGUGAAUACGUUCCCGGGCCU